Molecule: ribosomal RNA, 440 nt
Filed under: uncultured bacterium
Lineage: Bacteria
Description: partial 16S ribosomal RNA
Rfam family: Bacterial small subunit ribosomal RNA
Source: RNAcentral
CCUACGGGCGGCAGCAGUGGGGAAUAUUGCACAAUGGGGGAAACCCUGAUGCAGCGACGCCGCGUGAGUGAAGAAGUAUUUCGGUACGUAAAGCUCUAUCAGCAGGGAAGAAAAUGACGGUACCUGACUAAGAAGCCCCGGCUAACUACGUGCCAGCAGCCGCGGUAAUACGUAGGGGGCAAGCGUUAUCCGGAUUUACUGGGUGUAAAGGGAGCGUAGACGGCAGCGCAAGUCUGGAGUGAAAUCCCAUGGCUUAACCAUGGAACUGCUUUGGAAACUGUGCAGCUAGAGUGCAGGAGAGGUAAGCGGAAUUCCGAGUGUAGCGGUGAAAUGCGUAGAUAUUAGGAGGAACACCAGUGGCGAAGGCGGCUUACUGGACUGUAACUGACGUUGAGGCUCGAAAGCGUGGGGAGCAAACAGGAUUAGAUACCCGGGUAGUC